GCCGUCUUCUCUUCCACCCCGCUCUCUUCAUGUCCCGUAGCUCCCAGCUCCGCAGCUGUUCGAGACUCCGCACUGGAUCCGCCGGGUGUCGGAUUCAGCAACAGUGAUUGGUGCGGAGGAUCCGAGGGAGACGGGCCGACACAGGGUCUACCUUGACAUGGCUCGACCCCUCUACAGAAGCAGAGGGGCGCUCGAAGAGUCGCCAGGGAAAAUGGAGCCUUAAGGAUUAGUUUGGGUAGUGAGGAAAGAGGAAAGAGCUGUCGGAGCCUGUUUCAUUUUUCCCGCUUUGCGACAAGGUCUAGAGAGAGUUACAAUUUUAUUUGAAACAGUAAAUAGACACAUUAAUGUGACCUGAUAGCGUGCACCAUCAGUAUAUGAUAAAAUUAGGAGAAAUUAGGAAGCAUGGUAAAACAUGUGUCAGGAUGGCCGAGCGGUCUAAGGCGCUGCGUUCAGGUCGCAGUCUCCCCUGGAGGCGUGGGUUCGAAUCCCACUCCUGACAAUAUGUGUUUUCCGUCCUUACUUUUCCUCCUGAUUUGAACCAACCAGCAAUUAUGUUUGAAUUCUUAGAGAAAGACUUUUCGAUCGGUCAACACUGCCUUUUAUCCUAGGUAUCUACAUUUACGAAAAUUAUUUGUGCUUCUCUGCACAUAUAGAACUAUAUCUAUUUUUCCUGUAUUGUAGGCUGGAGUCUGGUCUAUGAAAUCAGGGAGCAGUUGAGACUAAGAUUAACUUUGGACUCCAACUUCCCAGUGUCAAUUUAUCCAUUCUUUUAUUCAACAACAAUGUGUUGAGCCCUUUCUGUGCGUCAAGCACACUAAGGCAGGCAGAUACCAUCUCCUUUGACUAAACAAGAGAACGCCCUCAACUCAGGAUCCUUUAAUUUGCUCUACAGUCUUAGCUGGGU
Molecule: long non-coding RNA, 904 nt
Filed under: Homo sapiens (human)
Lineage: Eukaryota; Metazoa; Chordata; Mammalia; Primates; Hominidae
Description: non-protein coding lnc-FCGR3A-4:1
Rfam family: tRNA (bases 417-499)
Source: RNAcentral